CAGGGAAUAGUUUAAAUAGAACUUCAGCUUUGGGUGUUGAUAGUGGGGC
This 49-nucleotide transfer RNA is filed under the name Odocoileus virginianus (white-tailed deer). RNAcentral's name for it is "partial tRNA-Pro". Lineage: Eukaryota; Metazoa; Chordata; Mammalia; Artiodactyla; Cervidae. The record is from RNAcentral.